UACGGAGGGUGCAAGCGUUAUCCGGAUUCACUGGGUUUAAAGGGUGCGUAGGCGGAUAGGUAAGUCCGUGGUGAAAUCCUGCAGCUUAACUGCAGAACUGCCGUGGAUACUAUCUAUCUUGAAUGUCGUGGAGGUUAGCGGAAUAUGUCAUGUAGCGGUGAAAUGCUUAGAUAUGACAUAGAACACCCAUUGCGAAGGCAGCUAACUACGCGAUAAUUGACGCUGAUGCACGAAAGCGUGGGGAUCAAAACAGG
RNAcentral lists this ribosomal RNA (254 nucleotides) under uncultured bacterium. Its description in RNAcentral is "partial 16S ribosomal RNA". It matches the Rfam family "Bacterial small subunit ribosomal RNA", at positions 524 to 776 of the family's 1533-position model. The record is from RNAcentral.